RNAcentral lists this ribosomal RNA (253 nucleotides) under uncultured bacterium. RNAcentral describes it as "partial 16S ribosomal RNA". It matches the Rfam family "Bacterial small subunit ribosomal RNA", at positions 524 to 776 of the family's 1533-position model. The record is from RNAcentral.
GACGGAGGGUGCAAGUGUUAUCCGGAAUCACUGGGCGUAAAGCGUCUGUAGGUGGUUUAAUAAGUCAACUGUUAAAUCUUGAGGCUCAACCUCAAAAUCGCAGUCGAAACUAUUAGGCUAGAGUAUAGUAGGGGUAAAGGGAAUUUCCAGUGGAGCGGUGAAAUGCGUAGAGAUUGGAAAGAACACCGAUGGCGAAGGCACUUUACUGGGCUAUUACUAACACUCAGAGACGAAAGCUAGGGUAGCAAAUGGG